GUGGGGAGUUGAUGGGGAUCUCUGAUACCUGCGGCGGAAGGGAGAGGGUGAUCUGCGUCGUAUAGGGGGAGAUCUACGCUGCACCGGUGAGGGUGACCUAUGCUGCAUCUGCAUGGGCNNNNNNUACGCCGCACAGGUGAGGGUGAUCUUCUGCGUCGAAGGGGCGAAGGUGAUCUUCUGCGUCGAAGGGGUGAAGGCGAUCUACGGCGUCGAAUGG
Molecule: unclassified non-coding RNA, 217 nt
Filed under: Hevea brasiliensis (rubber tree)
Lineage: Eukaryota; Viridiplantae; Streptophyta; Magnoliopsida; Malpighiales; Euphorbiaceae
Source: RNAcentral